RNAcentral lists this ribosomal RNA (505 nucleotides) under Tetanocera soror. Its description in RNAcentral is "partial 16S ribosomal RNA". It matches the Rfam family "Bacterial large subunit ribosomal RNA", at positions 1819 to 2597 of the family's 2925-position model. The record is from RNAcentral. Lineage: Eukaryota; Metazoa; Arthropoda; Insecta; Diptera; Sciomyzidae.
GUCCUUUUGAGAUAAAUUUAAGGUCUGACCUGCCCACUGAAUUUUAAAUGGCCGCAGUACUCUAACUGUGCAAAGGUAGCAUAAUAAUUAGUCUUUUAAUUGAAGGCUGGAAUGAAUGGUUGGACGAGAUAUUUUCUGUUUCAUAUAAAUUUAUUGUAGAAUUUUAUUUUUCAGUAAAAAAGCUGAAAUAAUCUUAAAAGACGAGAAGACCCUAUAAAUCUUUACAUUCUAAAAAACCUGCAAAAGAAGGAUUAUUUUUGUAGCUUUUUAAUGAGUGUUUUAUUGGGGUGAUAUUAAAAUUUAAAGAACUUUUAAUUUUUGAAACAUUAAUUUAUGAAUAAUUGAUCCGUUUUCACGAUUAGUAAAUUAAGUUACUUUAGGGAUAACAGCGUAAUUUUUUUGGAGAGUUCAUAUCGAUAAAAAAGAUUGCGACCUCGAUGUUGGAUUAAGGAAUAAUUUUAGCGCAGCCGUUUAAAUGAUAAGUCUGUUCGACUUUUAAUCCCUU